This is a long non-coding RNA of Vespula vulgaris, 4336 nucleotides long. RefSeq lists it as uncharacterized. The transcript is spliced from 2 exons. Lineage: Eukaryota; Metazoa; Arthropoda; Insecta; Hymenoptera; Vespidae. The record is from RefSeq and is a predicted model, not a curated record.
ACUAAAAGAAGUUUCGCUGAAAGAACACUGCUUAAUCGAAGAAUGAAUGUAUAAACUUAAACGGAAGACGUCUACUUUGUUGAACUCUAGCCAAAUCAAUCUUGCUUCUUUCUAGGAACAUGGGCCACACUGUGUUGUUAACGCUGACGAACAAAUUUACAGAAUCUACGCCCUGAAAAGGUAAAUAUAGAAUUAACUAAACGUUCCCAAAAAGAUUACAGUGACAAUAGCAAUAUUUCUUAACUACUGCGCACCACUCGUCGUCCUGUUUCGAAUAUCACUUCUUAUUGUACGUAAGUAAAAUUGAUAAUCCGGACAUCGUACCUCUUCCAUUCUAUAAUCGAAAGAACGAUGGCUUAGAUGAUUAUGUUAGGUUAAGGAACGCAGUAGAAUAAGUUAUAUUUCGCAAUUGAGCGUGAUCGUUAUUAAUAAAUUCACUCGCGGAAAUCGCAUUUUUGGUAUUCGUCGCUAUAUAAAAUCUGAGUGAACGUUAGAUAAAAUAUUCUAAUUAACUAAUAAUUCUAAUUAACGAGAGGACGAAGCUCGAGUGCAACGCUUGGCACGAGACAAUUUAGAAUGGCGGAUUAAGCGGCAGGAAGGAAGCUAUGGACCGUCGCGCGUAUGCAUACGUCAUCAUUCCAAUGGCUUCCCCGCGUGUUUGUUGUUUCGAUCUAUUUGUAUGAGAAUAUCGAAACGUUAAAAAUAUGAUAUACGAAGUUAAAAACUAUCUAAACGGAUAUCUUGUUACACCAAACUGUAAAAAUUAUUCGUUUCAAUUUGACGCCUGUAUAACUAAACGUUCAUGUAGCGACUAUUGCGACGAGAAAUAAUAAUCUUUUUCAACUAACGCUUACCAGUCGUCGUUGUGUGUCGUACACCAUUUAUUAUUGUAAAUAAGUAAAAUUGAUGAGGAAAAUGCGAACGUCGUAACUCUUCCGUUGUACGAUCGUAAAUAACGAUUGCUUAUAUCGUUAUGUUAGGUUAAGGAACGCGGUACAAUUUACGAUUCGCAGUUGGGCGCGACCGAUGUUAACAAAUUUUAUCGGAAAAAUCGCGUUUUCGGCAUUCGAUCGGUAUAUAAAAUAAUGGUGCACGUUAAAUAAAAUAUUUUAAUUACCUGCAAUUAACGAGAGGACGAAGCUUGGUUGGGACACGUGCCACGAACUGAUUCAGAAUGGCGGAUUAAGCGGCAACAAGGAAGCUGUAUCGUCGAGCAUGCGCGUUACGUCAGCUUUGCAAUGGCUUCCCCACGUGCUUGUUGUUUCGAUCUAUUUGUAUAGAAAUAUCAAAACGUUAAAAAUAUGAUAUACGAAGUUAAAAACUAUCGAAACGGAUAUCUUGCUACAUAAAAUUAUGAAAAUUAAUCGUUACGAUUUGAUAAAAUGUUCGAGUAAGGAUUACAGCGAUAAUAAAUAAGAACCUUUUUCGACUAAUGCUUACCACUCGUCGUCGUGUGUCCAACACCAUUUCUCAUUGUAAAUAAGUAAAAUUGAAGACGAAAAUCCAGACGUCGUACCUCUCCCAUUCUAUAAUCAAAAGUAACGAUGGCUUGUAUGGUUGUUAGGUUAAGGAACGCGGUAGAAUAAGUUAUAUUUCGUAGUCGAGCGUGAUCGAUGUUAAUAAAUUUACCCGCGGAUAUCGCUUUUUCGACGUUCGAUCGGUAUGUAAAAUAAUGGUACACGUUGAAUAAACUAUUCUAAUUAACUGCAAUUAACGAACGGACGAAGCUCUGUUGCGACGCGUGCCACGAAACGAUUUGAAAUGGCGGAUUAGGCGGCAGGAAGGAAGCUAUGGACCGUCGCGCGUACGCAUUACGUCAUCUUUCCAAUGGCUUCCCCGCGUGUUUGUUGUUUCGAUCUAUUUGUAUGAGAAUAUCGAAACGUUUAUAAUAUGAUAUACGAAGUUAAAAACUAUCUAAACGGAUAUCUUGUUACACCAAACUGUAAAAAUUAUUCGUUUCAAUUUGACGCCUGUAUAACUAAACGUUCAUGUAGCGACUAUUGCGACGAGAAAUAAUAAUCUUUUUCAACUAACGCUUACCAGUCGUCGUUAUAUGUCGAACACCAUUUAUUAUUGUAAAUAAGUAAAAUUGAUGACGAAAAUCCGAAAGUCGUAGCUCUUCUAUUGUAUAACCGCAAAGAACGAUUGUUUACACGUUUAUGUUAGGUUAAGGAAGGUAGGACGAUAAUUUACAAUUCGCAGUUGAGCGCGAUCGGUGUUAACAAAUUUUAUCCGCUCAAAUCGUGUUUUCUGCAUUCAAUCGCUAUAUAAAAUAAUGACGCACGUUAAAUAAAAUAUUCUAAUUACCUGCAGUCAACGAGAGGACGAAGCUGGCUUGCGACAAACGCCACGAAAUAAUUCAGAAUGGCGGAGUAAGCGGCAGCAAGAAAGAUGUGGACCGUCGUACGUACAUAUUACGUCAUCUUUCCAAUGGCUUCCCCACGUGCUUGUAAAGUUUCGAUCUAUUUGUAUGAAAAUAUCGGAACGUUAAAAAUAUGAUAUACGAAGUUAAAAACUAUCUAAACGGAUAUCUUGCUAUACCGAACUGUGAAAAUUAAUCAUUUCGAUUUGACGCCUGUAUAACUAAACGUUCACGUAAAGAUUGCAACGAUAAUAAAUAACAAUGUUUUUCAACUAAUGCUUACCAGUCGUCGUUGUCGUGUGUCCAACAUCAUUUCUCAUUGUAAAUAAGUAAAAUUGAUGACGAAAAUGCAAACGUCGUAGUUCUUCCAUUGUAUAAUCGAAAAUAACGAUGGCUUGUAUGGUUGUUAGGUUAAGGAACGCAGCAGAAUAUAUUUCGUAGUUGAGCGUGAUCGAUGUUAAUAAAUUCACCCGUGGAAAUAGCGUUUUCGACGUUCGAUCGAUAUACAAAAUUAGAGCGUACGUUGGAUAAAAUAUUCUAAUUAACUGCAAUUAACGAACGGACGAAGCUCUGUUGCGACGCGUGCCACGAAACGAUUUGAAAUGGCGGAUUAGGCGGCAGGAAGGAAGCUAUGGACCGUCCCGCGUACGCGUUACGUCAUCUUUACAAUGGCUUCCCCACGUGUUUGUUGUUUCGAUCUGUUUGUAUAAUAAUAUGGAAACGUUAAAAAUAUGAUAUACGAAAUUAAAAACUAUCUAAACGGAUAUCUUGCUGCAUCAGACUGUGAAAAUUAAUCAUUUCGAUUUGAUAUCUGUAGAAAUAAAGCUCGUAAACGUGAAAAUAUAUUUGUAAGGAAAAUGUUCGUGCGCCCGCGUACGAUUAUUUUUCAUAUAAAUGUAUAUUAUUUUCGAUGUUAGUACGCUUUUAGUUUCUGCUUUUAGAAAGAGAGAGUAACCAUCCGAUUCGUUCAAAGGUCCAUUUUUGUUGACAGUCCAUUACUCGUUUUUUUAUGUUGGUUUACGCCAACGAUAAAUACAGGUAUAAUUUUUUAACGAUUUUGACGAACGAGAUCGCUUCAAAGAUGAAUAUUCGAGUGAGAAUACGAUUCUUCCGAACUUUCGAAUACGCGCUUCGUUUUGUUUGAAAAAAUCGUGUCAAAAAAUGAUGUUUUCUCGACGAUAAUUCACGCAUAAAAGUAAAGGAUAAGGUUAAUUUUAAAAUUAGAUAGUUUAAAUCGUCGUUAUAGCAGUCUCGUUGCGCGCACAUAAGUUUGUCUGUUUUUGAAUACAUACAAAGAGGCUCUUCGUAGAAAAAGAAGGAUAACAUUAGUUUAUAGAUAAUAGCUUAAAGAUUCCUUUACCUAUUGUUUCCGGCAAACAACGAAAGAAAAACCGGUCGAGCGUGAUAAAUUGUUGUUACCACGUAUGUAUAUGUACAUCGUAUACAAUUCGGAGAAUUUGGGAAGUCUUGUAGUGAAAAGUAUUUGUAAAUAAACGAGGGACGAUCGGAGAGAUCGACCUUGGCACGACUUCUCUCCAUUCGUCGUCCUUACAACGCGUUAGUCGCAGUAUUCCUUCCUCUCGGCAGCUGUCCGGACGUGUUCUAUCUAGACAAGGCAUAAUUCUAACAACGCUUGCAGCGCUUAACAAGAGGACGAAGCUGGUUAUAACACGUGCCAUAAAAUAAACGGUAACAAGGAGACUUAGUGGACCGUCGUGUAUACGCAUUACGUCACGUGUGCAAUGAUUCGCAGGGAAAGGUGGACAUAUAAUAUUAUAAUCGAUGUCUAUUAUUUUUGAUGCAUAUAUUAUAAAUAAAAGUAAAAAAACUUUUAUGACGAGGAUUAAUUUAAAAAAUACUAAAUGUGCUUUGUGCAAUAUAUUUAAAUUUCAUAAAAAAAUGAACGGUUUAUACACUUAGUUUUAAUUGUGUAUUUAAUAGAAAUUAAAGAUAGAAUAUAAAUAGUUUAUGAUA